CUAACAAACAUAAUAAAACAGCAUGUUAUGUAUGUGGCGGUGCCCGACCCCACCUUGGCACCGUCCCCCUAACUCUCCCUUUAGAGAUAGAAGAUUGCUUCUUAAGCCUUUUUGCCUACCAAUAUGACUUUAAUAGGUCCCUCUGCAUGGCAUGGACGGCAGAGUACCCUCUCUUAGUUGAAAAUGUUAAGCCACCAGAUGGAAUCACAGUCUAUAGAGGUAAUUACACUUGUUAUGCCGUGUAUGACGGGAUUGGUAAAUUCAUGGGUAACUUUUCUAAAGGUUAUUGCGCCACUUACAGAACUGUUCCUAUACGCCUGUUGCAACACCAUACCAGGUCAUUGGGGGAUAUUUACUGGUUAUGUGGGGAUCUACAGUUAAGAUCUAGGC
Molecule: non-coding RNA, 390 nt
Organism: Pelobates cultripes (western spadefoot toad)
Lineage: Eukaryota; Metazoa; Chordata; Amphibia; Anura; Pelobatidae
Source: the annotation of a GenBank genome assembly